CCUACGGGUGGCAGCCGUCGAGAAUUUUUCACAAUGGGGGAAACCCUGAUGGAGCGACGCCGCGUGGAGGACGAAGGUCUUCGGAUUGUAAACUCCUGUCAUGCGGGAACACGAAAGUGAUAGUACCGCAAGAGGAAGAGACGGCUACCUCUGUGCCAGCAGCCGCGGUACUACAGAGGUCUCAAGCGUUGUUCGGAUUCAUUGGGCGUAAAGGGUGCGCAGGCGGCGUGGAAAGUUGAGUGUGAAAUCCUGGGGCUCAACCUCAGAACUGCACUCAAUACUCCCAUGCUAGAGGAAUGUAGAGGAGAGUGGAAUUCACGGUGUAGCAGUGAAAUGCGUAGAUAUCGUGAGGAAGACCAGUUGCGAAGGCGACGCUCUGGGCAUUUCCUGACGCUCAGGCACGAAGGCCAGGGGAGCAAACGGGAUUAGAUACCCCAGUAGUC
Molecule: ribosomal RNA, 443 nt
Filed under: uncultured bacterium
Lineage: Bacteria
Description: partial 16S ribosomal RNA
Rfam family: Bacterial small subunit ribosomal RNA
Source: RNAcentral